Molecule: long non-coding RNA, 1227 nt
Organism: Anastrepha ludens (Mexican fruit fly)
Lineage: Eukaryota; Metazoa; Arthropoda; Insecta; Diptera; Tephritidae
Exons: 3
Source: RefSeq, a predicted model, not a curated record
UGGUCGCCGGGCUGAUGUACCUGACAGAGAAAGACAAGCACAUACAAUUAUACACCUGUAUUCAAAUCUUUAAUCUUAUUGCAUUUUCAGCAUACCAAAAUUUAUAUACUUGCAAAUCUCAAGUUUUCUUACAAUAAAUAUUUUACUACAUUAUUUGUUUUUAUUUUUAUAUAUGAGACAUUCUAGGUUUCAAUGCUUUGUGAUAUACAUAAUUUAAUUGAUUCCAUUAGGCAUUCUUUAUUGUGAACCGCUGAUGGCUCAGCAUGAGUUUACAUGCAUAAUCAAAGGCUGAUCAAAUCAUCAAUGGCUUUUAUUUUAAAAGCAAGCAUCGACAGUAGUUGCUUAGAAUAAGAGAUAUCAAACUUACGCUGUUUUCUUUUUUUAUACUAAUGUUGCAUUCAUUUUGCCCCUAUACAAAAAUUAAGGGUGAGCGUUGUCCACGCGAUUUAAUUUAUCUGUGUACACAAGUUCAUUAAAAUUGUUGCGCGAAAAGUUUAAUUGUAAAAGAAGGGAGACAAAUCAUAAAAUUUUAUUUAUAGUAGAAAUAUGCACGAAACUCUUACUAAUUCAUAUUAAUUUUUUCCGAAAUGUUUCUCGGGUAAAAUCGUUUUGCUUUGCUAAGUUGGAGAAACCCAAAUACUCAAGAGAUUAAUGUUUGUUUUGCAGCAGUGCUUAUACUUAUAUGGUAUCAGAAAAUGAUUUAGUCCGGAUGGAAUAUUUUUGUUUCCUGAAAAUGCGAAAAGUUGUGCAUUUGUUUUCACUGUAUAGAUCUCUACUUUUGAAAAAUAGAAAUAUAGCGCAACUGAGAGCGGCGAGUCCUGAGCUCUUAAGUUCGUUAAGUACUAUGUGAAUACCAACUCUAUCUUCACAUGCAUGAAAUCCAAGCAAGCGAACGGCGUAGUUUUCAACAGCACUACAGAAACCAUAACAUUACAGGAUGAAAUUUAAUGUAUUCGACCUAAAUGUAAUGCCAAAAAUUAUUCUUCAAUGGAACAUUGAAAUUGUAUAUAAAAGCAUAACAUAAUACCUCAAGUCAGUGAUGCUUGAAGAUAAUGUAGUUUAGACGCCAGUUUAGUAGCCCCACUACUAAAAUCACUAAUUAAUGUAUGGAAAAUUCCUAUUUCGUUAAUGCUUUUGAAAAUAUAACUUCGUAUAUUUUUAAUGCUAUCAAUUUUAUUAUUUACUAUUUUUACUUAAAUAUAAGGUAUAUAAAAAAAAUAUUUUAAC